This 727-nucleotide ribosomal RNA is filed under the name uncultured earthworm cast bacterium. RNAcentral describes it as "bacterial SSU rRNA". It matches the Rfam family "Bacterial small subunit ribosomal RNA", at positions 40 to 780 of the family's 1533-position model. The record is from RNAcentral.
CGGCGUGCUUAACACAUGCAAGUCGAGCGGCAAAGGCCCUUCGGGGUACUCGAGCGGCGAACGGGUGAGUAACACGUGAGCAACCUGCCCUUAGCUUUGGGAUAACCCUCGGAAACGGGGGCUAAUACCGAAUGUUCACUUCCUGUCGCAUGGUGGGGGGUGGAAAGUUUUUCGGCUAGGGAUGGGCUCGCGGCCUAUCAGCUUGUUGGUGGGGUGAUGGCCUACCAAGGCGACGACGGGUAGCCGGCCUGAGAGGGCGACCGGCCACACUGGGACUGAGACACGGCCCAGACUCCUACGGGAGGCAGCAGUGGGGAAUAUUGCACAAUGGGCGCAAGCCUGAUGCAGCGACGCCGCGUGAGGGAUGACGGCCUUCGGGUUGUAAACCUCUUUCAGCAGGGACGAAGGGUGACUGACGGUACCUGCAGAAGAAGCGCCGGCCAACUACGUGCCAGCAGCCGCGGUAAGACGUAGGGCGCGAGCGUUGUCCGGAUUUAUUGGGCGUAAAGAGCUCGUAGGCGGCUUGUCGCGUCGACUGUGAAAACCCGUGGCUCAACCAUGUGGUCUGCAGUCGAUACGGGCAGGCUAGAAUUCGGUAGGGGAGACUGGAAUUCCUGGUGUAGCGGUGAAAUGCGCAGAUAUCAGGAGGAACACCGGUGGCGAAGGCGGGUCUCUGGGCCGAUAUUGACGCUGAGGAGCGAAAGCGUGGGGGAGCGAACAGGGAUUA